GUUUAAAAAAUAAAAACUAUAAUGAUUGAAAGUUGAACAGAAGAUUAUCUAGAGUUGUGGAACUGGAAUAUAUUCCCGUACCAAAAACCCAACAAUUAUCAUUCUUGUGCAAGGCACUGCACUGCUCUAUGUGCUUGCAUGUCAAUGUCACAUUGAAGCAUAUACCAAGUACAGCAUUAUAAGGAAUAAGAUGUAGCUUCUGCAAUGAGAAAUCCUAUUUCUCUUUGGAUAUGGAGAUUACAUAUAUAUUUUCACUGUUUUUGUUUUGGUUUUGGUCAUAUCAUUUGUUUUUCAGGUACUUAAUAAGAUUCGAUUCAUACCUAGAGAAAUAUUGUUUUUAAGCUAGAAAUUUUUAAACCCUAGCCCCUCUCUCCCAAAAAAACCCUCUUAGAGCCUUUUUCACUUUUAGAGGUGGGGAAGCCACUCUUUCCCCAAAAAACCCUCUUAGAGCCGUUUUCACUUUUAGAGGCGAGGAAGCCACUCUUUCCCAAAAAACCCUCUUAUAGCCGCUUUCACUUUUAGGAGGGAGGAAGCCACUUUCACUUUUAGGAGGGAGGAAGCCACUAUUCUUCCUCCCCUUUCCUCUAUUCUCUUCCUCCCUCUCUUCUCCCCUCAUUUUCAUAGACAAAAGGUGUUCCCUAUUUGUCUUCGUUUUGUUAUGAUUUUCCUCCAACCAUCAUAGGCAGCUACGUCUUGGCGUCAGAUCUCCACUUGCAUUUCGGCGUCGGAUCUCCACCACCAUCUUUUUUGCAGUUUUUUUAUGUUUGGAAUAAGUCACAAAGACUCUUUGGGUUCUCUGUGUAAUUUUCACCUCUCCUUUUGUGAGAGCUUUUCACCUCUUCUUUGUGAGAGCUUUUCAUCCCUCCUUUGUGAGAGCUUUUCAUCUCUCUCUUGUGAGAGUUUUGUUUGUAUUGUUAUGAUUUGAUUUUUUCAAGAUUUAUCUCUUUUUUAUUAUUAUGAAUUUGCAAUCAUAGUUGAAAUGCC
Molecule: long non-coding RNA, 984 nt
Filed under: Prunus persica (peach)
Lineage: Eukaryota; Viridiplantae; Streptophyta; Magnoliopsida; Rosales; Rosaceae
Description: long non-coding RNA (PPER_LNC005653)
Source: RNAcentral